Non-coding RNA from Pelobates cultripes (western spadefoot toad), 159 nucleotides. NCBI's taxonomy places the organism in Eukaryota, Metazoa, Chordata, Amphibia, Anura, Pelobatidae. The record is from the annotation of a GenBank genome assembly.
GCUGACACAUCCCGGUCAAUCUCCAGCAGACCCUCCCUCCCAGACCCUCCUACUUCCUGGACAGCAUCCAUGUUGAAGGCAGCUUCAACAUGGAUGCUGUCCAGGAGGUGGGAGGGUCUGGGAGGGAGGGUCUGCCGGAGAUUGGCAGGGAUGUGUCAG